CUUCAUGGUUCGGUCAUUGCAUGAUCUUGUUAUUGAACCUUUGCCACACCUCAUGUAAGGACUCACCACUAAGUUGAUGGAAAUUUGUGAUCUCAUCUCUUAGUUG
Molecule: non-coding RNA, 106 nt
Organism: Capsicum annuum
Lineage: Eukaryota; Viridiplantae; Streptophyta; Magnoliopsida; Solanales; Solanaceae
Source: Rfam